This 388-nucleotide ribosomal RNA is filed under the name Rhipicephalus microplus (southern cattle tick). Its description in RNAcentral is "partial small subunit ribosomal RNA". The record is from RNAcentral. Lineage: Eukaryota; Metazoa; Arthropoda; Arachnida; Ixodida; Ixodidae.
UUAAACUAGGAUUAGAUACCCUAUUAUUUAGAGCUUUACAUUGUAAGUAAAUAAUAAUUACGAAAGCAAAAAAUUAUGGCGGUAUUUUAAGCUUUUCAGAGGAAUUUGCUCUUUAAUGGAUAAAACACCUAAAUCUUACUUAAAUUUGUUAAAUCAAUUUGUAUACCACUAUUAAAUUAAUUAAUAAUUUUAAUUUAUAAAAUUUAUAUAAAUUUAAAAAAAAUUAAGUCAAGGUGCAGUAAAAAUUUAAGAAUGAAGUGAAUUACAUUUCUUUUAAGAGAUUAUUUAAAUUAAAAAUUUAAUUUAGGAUUUGAAAGUAAAAUUAAAAUAGAAUGUUAAUUUGAAUUGAGCUCUAAAAUAUGUACACAUCGCCCGUCGCUCUCAUUAA